Molecule: ribosomal RNA, 777 nt
Filed under: Sphingobacterium multivorum
Lineage: Bacteria; Pseudomonadati; Bacteroidota; Sphingobacteriia; Sphingobacteriales; Sphingobacteriaceae
Description: bacterial SSU rRNA
Rfam family: Bacterial small subunit ribosomal RNA
Source: RNAcentral
CUAAUACAUGCAAGUCGGACGGGAUCCAUCGGAGAGCUUGCUCGAAGAUGGUGAGAGUGGCGCACGGGUGCGUAACGCGUGAGCAACCUACCUCUAUCAGGGGGAUAGCCUCUCGAAAGAGAGAUUAACACCGCAUAAUAUAAUCUACCGGCAUCGGGGGAUUAUUAAAUAUUUAUAGGAUAGAGAUGGGCUCGCGUGACAUUAGCUAGUUGGUAGGGUAACGGCUUACCAAGGCGACGAUGUCUAGGGGCUCUGAGAGGAGAAUCCCCCACACUGGUACUGAGACACGGACCAGACUCCUACGGGAGGCAGCAGUAAGGAAUAUUGGUCAAUGGGCGGAAGCCUGAACCAGCCAUGCCGCGUGCAGGAUGACUGCCCUAUGGGUUGUAAACUGCUUUUGUCCAGGAAUAAACCUUUCUACGUGUAGAGAGCUGAAUGUACUGGAAGAAUAAGGAUCGGCUAACUCCGUGCCAGCAGCCGCGGUAAUACGGAGGAUCCGAGCGUUAUCCGGAUUUAUUGGGUUUAAAGGGUGCGUAGGCGGCCUAUUAAGUCAGGGGUGAAAUACGGUGGCUCAACCAUCGCAGUGCCUUUGAUACUGACAGGCUUGAAUCCAUUUGAAGUGGGCGGAAUAAGACAAGUAGCGGUGAAAUGCAUAGAUAUGUCUUAGAACUCCGAUUGCGAAGGCAGCUCACUAAGCUGGUAUUGACGCUGAUGCACGAAAGCGUGGGGAUCGAACAGGAUUAGAUACCCUGGUAGUCCACGCCCUAAACGAUGAUA